This 1053-nucleotide non-coding RNA is filed under the name Perkinsus marinus ATCC 50983. RNAcentral's name for it is "Eukaryotic large subunit ribosomal RNA". It matches the Rfam family "Eukaryotic large subunit ribosomal RNA", at positions 1065 to 2127 of the family's 3401-position model. Lineage: Eukaryota; Perkinsozoa; Perkinsida; Perkinsidae. The record is from Rfam by way of RNAcentral.
UUUAAUGGGCAGAUCCAGUAGUUACUUAAUUGAACUAUUGGGGUCAAUGAGACGACUCUAAGUGGGCCAUUUUUGGUAAGCAGAACUGGCGAUGAGGGAUGAACCUAACGCUCGGUUAAGGUGCUAAACUGCUCGCUCAUCAGAUACCACAAAGGGUGUUGGUCGAUCUUAACAGCAGGACGGUGGUCAUGGAAGUCGAAAUCCGCUAAGGAGUGUGUAACAACUCACCUGCCGAAUCGACUAGCCCCGAAAAUGGAUAGCGCUGAAGCGAGUGACCGAUACCGGGCCAUUGUUGCAAGAUAAUUGGCAACAAUGAGUAGGAGGGCGUGGGGGUUGUGAAGAAGCUUGGACGUGAGUCUGAGUGAAACAGCUUCCAGUGCAGAUCUUGGUGGUAGUAGCAAGUAUUCAAUAAGAGAACAUUGAAGGCCGAAGUGGGGAAGGGUUCCAUGUGAACAGCACUUGGACAUGGGUUAGCCGAUCCUGAGAGACAGGUUAAAUUCCAUCGGAUUGGAGCUUUGGCUCUGUUUCUCGAAAGGGAAGCUGGUUAGUAUUCCAGCGCCGAGACGUGGAUAAUAUGUGGCAACACAAGUGAACUCGGACACGCCAUAGGGGACCCCAGGAAGCGUUGUCUUUUCUUUUUAACAGUUCGACUUACCCUGGAAUCAGAUCAUCUGGAGAUAGGGUUUUCGAACUGGAAUAGCACCUUGUCUAACAGGGUGUCUGGAGUGUUCUCGCUGGCCCUUGAAAAUCCGAGGGAUAGAUUUAUUCGCACUCUCGAUCGUACCCAUAACCGCAUCAGGUCUCCAAGGUUAGAAGCCUCUGGUCCGUAGGACAAAGUAGAUAAGGGAAGUCGGCAAAAUAGGUCCGUAACUUCGGGAAAAGGACUGGCUCUGAGGUUUGGUAUGUGGAACCUGGAUUAAUCGUUGGAGUCGAGCAGAGACUACUUGUUGCUCACGUGACUUGUGGACUCCUUGCUUGAUACCUUCAAUUGAUCCAGGCUGCUUCAGCGCUCUGCAUGCACUUAACAAACAGCUCAGAACUGGAGCGGACAAG